CCAGACUCCUACGGGAGGCAGCAGUGGGGAAUAUUGCACAAUGGAGGAAACCCUGAUGCAGCAACGCCGCGUGAAGGAAGACGGUUUUCGGAUUGUAAACUUCUGUUCUUAGUGAAGAAAAAUGACGGUAGCUAAGGAGCAAGCCACGGCUAACUACGUGCCAGCAGCCGCGGUAAUACGUAGGUGGCAAGCGUUGUCCGGAAUUACUGGGUGUAAAGGGAGCGCAGGCGGGAAGCCAAGUCAGCUGUGAAAACUACGGGCUUAACCUGUAGACUGCAGUUGAAACUGGUUUUCUUGAGUGAAGUAGAGGUUGGCGGAAUUCCGAGUGUAGCGGUGAAAUGCGUAGAUAUUCGGGGGAACACCGGUGGCGAAGGCAGCGUGCCGGGCCGCCACUGACGCUGAGGCACGAAAGCGCGGGGAUCGAACAGGAUUAGAUACCCCUGUU
Molecule: ribosomal RNA, 445 nt
Filed under: uncultured bacterium
Lineage: Bacteria
Description: bacterial SSU rRNA
Rfam family: Bacterial small subunit ribosomal RNA
Source: RNAcentral